RNAcentral lists this long non-coding RNA (4210 nucleotides) under Carassius auratus (goldfish). Its description in RNAcentral is "lncRNA (ENSCARG00000041357.1)". The record is from RNAcentral. Lineage: Eukaryota; Metazoa; Chordata; Actinopteri; Cypriniformes; Cyprinidae.
AUGAUGAACACUCUCCUUAACAUAUUUGUAUAUCUAAUGAUGAUAACAGUUGCCUGUCUUGGUGGAACUGUUCUCCAGACGCCUGAUGAUCUACUGAAGAAACGAGAUGAAUCUGCUGUGAUCACUUGUACUCACAAGAUACCGAGCUAUGACCGAAUACUGUGGUACAAACAAAGUCAGGACUCAUUGGGCCUAAAGUUGAUGGGAUACCUUAUUGCUGUGUCUAAGAAUAAAGAGCCUGAAUUUGAAAACAAGAUCAACUUGGAAGGAAAUGGAAGAAAUAAAGGCAUUCUGACUCUCAGCAACCUCUCACCGACUGACAGUGCAGUGUAUUUCUGUGCAGCAUAUUACACAGUGCUCAGAGUCACCUCUGUCUGAUACAAAAACCUCUUUUAAACUGCUUAUACUUCAAAAGCGUAUAUUUUAUCAUGUUCAUCUCAACAUCUGUGGGUUUUGAUUCCGUGCCAAUACUAAACACAACACACCUGCACGCUUAAAGUGUUGCUUAAUAUCUUGUAGUAUAUGGUCAAUUCGGUUCACAUCCCAACUUCUUAUAGGCAGAAACUUCUUUCUUAAAUUCAGAAUUUUGCCCCACCCUGAGAUCACCAUGAUGUCAUGAACUUACAUCCUGUAUUAUCAACUAAAAUUUGAAUCCUCACAGAAGAUUGUAAUUUAACCUAGCCAGCCUCAAUUUAACAAGAUGAGGAACAUCAUUCUGUUGAUUCUGAUGCUGCACUGCGGCCAAGGUAUUCAAACUAUCUUUAUUAAAACAUUUAACAUAUUGACCUUUUCAAUAGUUCUUGCUAGGAUAGUGUCAUUGAAAUCUAUGAGAUAUCAUCACAUCAAUAUAUAGUUUAACCAUUUCUAUUUAUGUUUACAGCCAGCAUUCUUGGUAAAAGUGUUGUCCAGACUCCUUCUGAUCUCCUGAAGAAAGAAAAUGAAGUUGCCGAGAUCAAAUGUACAAACAAUGUCCAAAACUAUGAUGUCACACAAUGGUACAAGCAAAGCCAGAUCACCAAGGACCUUCAGUUCAUGGGAUACCUGAAUAUUAAACAAGUGGUCAAGGAGAAUAAAUUUAAUGACAAGAUCAAACUGGAUGGAGAUGGAAGAAAUAAUGUCACUCUGACUAUCAACACGCUCACAGUGAAUGACAGUGCAGUGUAUUUCUGUGCAGCGUAUUACACAGUGCUCAGAGUCACUUCUGUCUGAUACAAAAACUGCACGAUUAUCAGUGACUGCAGAUUCACUCCCACUUUGCACCUGGACUAGUGGUUCAGUGAGUCUAAUGCAUACAAGUAUAGCUUAGCAAUAAAUAUACAAGGGAAUUUAAAAGGUUAUUAUAUCGAAGUGUCUUUUGUUGUUAUUAUGAAUGAUUUCUGAAGGGUUUAGCACAUGCUUAGCAUUUGAAAAAAAAAAAAACCUGAAAAAUAAUAUUAGUGGAAUUAUGCUUCUCUUCAUCACGUAUUGAAGCAUACCUUUAUACUAGUGCAUACUAGUGCAGUUCUUUUACAGCUGCACACUUUGGAGAUGUGAAAAGAGCGAAAAUAUGAAGCUCUUAAAAAUGCUCCUGAAAGUGACAAUGAUGACAAUGGCACACAUUACACUCAUGUAUUGCAAUAGCUGGAGUGCUGUACAAAACGUAAAAUGGCACUGACAGUAAUAGUCAACAGGUGGCAUUGUAGCACAACUAAUAAAUGGCACAUAUACCAAAAAUAUACAGUUUGAUAAUAUCACAGAAUGAAGUAAACUGUGCAGGUGCUACUUAAGAAUAUCAUAUUAUUAUAGAUCCAUCCAAAAUACAUCUGUAAACAUGUUUUUAGUGUAGAACCUUAAAGAACAUUUAGACAUGGACACUGCUAAAUACACAAUUCACAGUUAGUUACCAAAAAAAAAAUUCAAUUACAAAAUUUUGAGUCAGAGUUUCCUUACUAUGAUUACAGAAAAUACAAAUACAGUUGUCAGUACACUUUACAAACUUUUGUUCAAAUACGGUAAACUUGAGCUGUCAGAAUUCCCCUUUGGUGACAUCACUUCCUCGAUUGUCUUUAUUAUCUCAUCAACUGUAACUACCCACAGCAGAGUCUCAUACUGUAGCAGGGAAACAGCAUGAAUACGAUUCUACUAAGUUUCUCUGUCACAUUUAUGUGGCUCACAGGUAAUAAUGUCUUUUAUGAAGGGUUUCUUGAUUUUUUUUAUCGCAACAGCUACAUGUAAAUAAUCUUUUACUGAAAUUUCUUACUAAAUCUUUCAUUUAUUCGUCUCAUUCCAGGUACCACUUUUGGUAACAUUGUUCACCAGACUCCUUCUAAAUCAAUAAAGGACCGAGACAAAUCAGCUGUGUUCAUAUGUUCACACGAUAUAGCAAGUUAUUUCCAAAUGAUGUGGUACAAACAAACCCAGAGCACCCUGGAAUUAAAACUAAUGGGAAUCCUUAAUGGUGAAAAUGAUCAAAUAGAAACAGAAUUUAAAAACAAGAUUUUUCUGAAUGGAAACGGAAGGCGUAACGGCACUCUAACAAUUAAAACCCUCACAGUGAAUGACAGUGCGGUGUAUUUCUGUGCAGCAUAUGACACAGUGCUCUAAACUCCCUCCGUCUAAUACAAAAACUUGGCACUGUUACAGAAAUAGUUUAUCAACAAAAAGAUCCAGCCUUUGCUUUCUAACUAUAUUUGUCGCAACCUUUUGAUUCUUUGCCAAUAAUGAGCAAUAAUGAGAUGUGGGUGUAAAAGAAAAUAUCUUACCAGUGUGUGAUUCUAAGCAAUUAUUAUUGCUUGUGCUUACUAAAGAAAGCAUCAUUAUUACUCACACUUCCUAAUAUUAAUGACUGGUCAUUUACACAAACCCUUCAAAGUGAGGUGAAUGAAUGAAGCAUUUACAUAGAGCUGUAUUGUGUAUUGCUGUACACCCAAAGCACUUUACAAUCAUAUCAUGGGAUCUCUCCUCAACCACCAGCAGUGUGCAGCAUCCACCUGGAGUACAGAGUACAACGGCACCAGCGCACUCACCACUCACCAGCUAAAGGUGGAGAAGAGAGAGACAGAUAUUUGAAUUAGAAAAAAAUAUUUUAUUAAUAAUCAGAGCUUGGAGUAAUAAUAUGCAUAUUAUUAUUCGUUACUGUAACCACCUAUGAUGUCAUAUCCUGUUCAACAAAAGCUAGAGUUUGAAGCAGUUCAAAGGUUGAGACUCACUCUCCCAUCAAAACUCAACAUGACUAGUGCUAUUAUUACAUUGAUUCUGUUCCUGCGCUGCAGUCUAGGUAUGUACAACUUUAUAGCAACUGAAACAAUAACCUGACAUUCUUAUUAAUUAAAUUUAAUUUUGUCCACAGCUGCUGUUGGUGGAGAUGAUGUUUUUCAAGAGCCUAAAAUUCUCUGGGAACCAAAGAACGGUUCUGCUUCUUUGAAUUGCAAUCACAAAAAGCCUAUUUCAUACAACCAGAUGUACUGGUACCGACAGCGUCCAGGAGAAACUAUGAGGCUCAUUGUAUUCACUGUGGCUGGUGGUAAUCCAGAAUUUGGAGAUGUUGAAAAGAAGAAAUAUGAAGCUCACAAAAGUGUUGCUGUAAGUGGAUCAUUGAAAGUGAAAGAUCUCGAGCCAGACGACAGUGGCAUAUAUUUCUGUGCCGUGAGUCAACACAGUGUGUCAAAGGCUGGAGAAUGCUGUACAAAAACAUUCGGUGCAGAAAAAGACAAUGACAGCAUUAGUCAACAGGUGGCAGUCUGGUAUAACAAUAAGCAACAUUUCAAAACAGUCGAACUGAAAAAAAUAAAAAAAAUAAACGCUUGUUUAUAGAAUAGAGAAGUGCAAAAACAUGUGCCAAGGAUGGCCAAACAAUACAUAACAAUUAUAAUUAGGAUAUAAAGAGAGAAGAGAAAAAAAACCUUAAAAAAAAAAAAAAAAAAAAAACAUUAUAUUAUAAUAACCAAUAUUUCAUACAGAGUAUAAUAUUAUUAAAAUAGAAAUUAUACAAAAAUUCCAAAAAGUGAUCAUAAAUUCAAGGUUUUAGUUGCCUUUUAUUACAGGAGGUUGAAAAAUAUUCAAUAUAGGCUUUUUCAUUUCAUUUUAUUGCCUUGUAUUUUCAGGGUUUGUAUUUUCAGGGUCUGAAAUUAACAUAGUCGUUUAUUUAAGCUGUGAAUAUUUCACUUCAAAACAUUUCACACACAAUCAUAAUAACAAAAAAAAAAAAAUCAAUGAUUCAUAUUCACCUUCC